CUUCUCUCUCAAGAUGACUCACAAGCACCACUCGCACAGUACUAAAGAUUCGCCGGUCGCCAUCACCGACGCCCAGAGCCUUCCUGCUUCCGCCACGUAUCCACCUUCGCCAUCAGCAACCUUAUCUUCAGAUUCCUUCCUCCUCAAGGAACUCAUAAGAGCCACAUGAAUUUCCUUCACCCCGAAGCAAUUGCUGCCAACCACAUACUCCCCAUCAGAAGUCUCCUAUAAAUAACCACUUCGGCCAGAAGACGAGGCAGACUGCAUUCAAGGAAAG
This 277-nucleotide long non-coding RNA is filed under the name Amborella trichopoda. RNAcentral describes it as "long non-coding RNA (ATRI_LNC000603)". The record is from RNAcentral. Lineage: Eukaryota; Viridiplantae; Streptophyta; Magnoliopsida; Amborellales; Amborellaceae.